UUGACAAUCUGAUUGUGAAGGCAUACUUUCAGGAGUGAGGGUAGAGCGGGGUUUCCCCCGCCCUGGUAGUCUUAGUAUGCUGGCCAGCUAAUCACUAAGAGCACCACGAUGAUGAUCCACUUCAUCAUGACCCUUUCCUUAUU
This 143-nucleotide small RNA is filed under the name Escherichia coli. RNAcentral describes it as "Short Intergenic Abundant RNA". It matches the Rfam family "Short Intergenic Abundant RNA". Rfam says of the family: This family contains multiple ncRNA from E. coli that were identified in a large scale screen of E. coli, were they were called candidates 43,55 and 61. RNAcentral also lists the same sequence under 2 other names. Lineage: Bacteria; Pseudomonadati; Pseudomonadota; Gammaproteobacteria; Enterobacterales; Enterobacteriaceae. The record is from RNAcentral.